RNAcentral lists this transfer RNA (72 nucleotides) under Verrucomicrobia bacterium LW23. It matches the Rfam family "tRNA". Rfam says of the family: Transfer RNA (tRNA) molecules are approximately 80 nucleotides in length. The record is from Rfam by way of RNAcentral. Lineage: Bacteria; Pseudomonadati; Verrucomicrobiota.
GACCCCAUGGAGUAGUGGUUAGCUCUCCUCCCUUUCACGGAGGCUGCACGGGUUCGAAUCCCGUUGGGGUCG